RNAcentral lists this long non-coding RNA (240 nucleotides) under Capsella rubella. RNAcentral describes it as "long non-coding RNA (CRUB_LNC004919)". Lineage: Eukaryota; Viridiplantae; Streptophyta; Magnoliopsida; Brassicales; Brassicaceae. The record is from RNAcentral.
GUGGGAGAUAAUUUUUUUUUUUUGGCAACUAUUGAUUUUCUUAAGACCUAAAAAUAAAGUAAUGUGAUAUUAUAAAUUUUUUAUCAAAAAGUGAAACAAGCGUUUUGUGUGCUAUUGGAGUUCAAUUCCCCAAUGCGAUGUAGCAUAAGAGGUUAUCGAUCCAAAUGGAUGUAUUGUAAACAAUCAAGAUAUAGCAGAACUAAUCAAGUCAAGCCAAGCAGUUGAAAGUUUGGUUUAAAG